CCUACGGGGAGCAGCAGUGGGGAAUAUUGGACAAUGGGGGGAACCCUGAUCCAGCCAUGCCGCGUGUGUGAAGAAGGCCAUCGGGUUGUAAAGCACUUUCAGUGAGGAAGAACACCUGGUGGUUAAUACCCAUCAGGAAAGACAUCACUCACAGAAGAAGCACCGGCUAACUCCGUGCCAGCAGCCGCGGUAAUACGGAGGGUGCGAGCGUUAAUCGGAAUUACUGGGCGUAAAGCGCGCGUAGGUGGCUUGAUAAGCCGGUUGUGAAAGCCCCGGGCUCAACCUGGGAACGGCAUCCGGAACUGUCAAGCUAGAGUGCAGGAGAGGAAGGUAGAAUUCCCGGUGUAGCGGUGAAAUGCGUAGAGAUCGGGAGGAAUACCAGUGGCGAAGGCGGCCUUCUGGACUGACACUGACACUGAGGUGCGAAAGCGUGGGUAGCAAACAGGAUUAGAUACCCGAGUAGUC
This 465-nucleotide ribosomal RNA is filed under the name Vreelandella stevensii. Its description in RNAcentral is "partial 16S ribosomal RNA". It matches the Rfam family "Bacterial small subunit ribosomal RNA", at positions 338 to 795 of the family's 1533-position model. The record is from RNAcentral. Lineage: Bacteria; Pseudomonadati; Pseudomonadota; Gammaproteobacteria; Oceanospirillales; Halomonadaceae.